This 774-nucleotide ribosomal RNA is filed under the name uncultured Neocallimastigales. RNAcentral describes it as "partial large subunit ribosomal RNA". It matches the Rfam family "Eukaryotic large subunit ribosomal RNA", at positions 23 to 620 of the family's 3401-position model. The record is from RNAcentral. Lineage: Eukaryota; Fungi; Neocallimastigomycota; Neocallimastigomycetes; Neocallimastigales.
AGAGAGAGACAUGCGCGCAUAUCAAUAAGCGGAGGAAAAGAAACUAACAAGGAUUCCUUAGUAACGGCGAGUGAAGCGGGAAGAGCUCAAAUUUGAAAUCUUCAAGGUUUUACCUUGACGAAUUGUAGUUUAAAGAAGUGUUUUCUGCUGAAGUUUUGGUAAAAGUUCUUUGGAAUAGGACAUCAUAGAGGGUGAGAAUCCCGUAUUUGACCAUUAUUUUCAGCUUUGUGAUACACUUUCAAAGAGUCGGAUUGUUUGGGAAUGCAGUCCAAAAUGGGUGGUAAAUUUCAUCUAAAGCUAAAUAUUGGCGAGAGACCGAUAGCGAACAAGUACCGUGAGGGAAAGAUGAAAAGAACUUUGAAAAGAGAGUUAAACAGUACGUGAAAUUGUCAAAAGGGAAGCGUUUGACACCAGUGUUGUUUUCUCGAAAAUCAAUUAAAAAUGGCUCGAUUUUGUAUUGCUUGAGACCUUAAAAGCUCACUGUACAUUUUUCGUGUCUUUUUUAAUGCACUUUUCGUUUAACAAGUCAACAUCAGUUUCUUUUGUUGUAAAAGGGUCAUCGGAAGGUGGCUUUCUUUUCGGAGAAAGUGUUUAUAGCCUUUGGCCUCUGCAAUCGAAGAGACUGAGGUCUGCAGCGUAGACUCUUCGGGGUUAGAUACAUUUGUGCUAAGUUAUAGCUUUUUAUAGACAACUUGUUGACUAUAAUUAGUCUUGUAGCUUACUCGCUUAUGCUAUUUUACCUACGCUUAGGAUGUUGAAGAUGUAGCACAUCAU